Callithrix jacchus (white-tufted-ear marmoset) is the source of this 18769-nucleotide non-coding RNA. Lineage: Eukaryota; Metazoa; Chordata; Mammalia; Primates; Cebidae. The record is from RefSeq and is a predicted model, not a curated record.
CUCCUUACUCAUGUGUUUAGAUCAUUCUUGAAUUCUUUCAUAUAUUAAACAUACAUAUUUUAUAUGUUAUGUCUGUUAAUGUCAAUAUCUGAAGUUUUUGCCAGUUUGAUUCUGUUGCCUGUUGUUUCUCACCUCUUGCUCCCAGAACCAUGUUUCCUUCUUUUAUAUUGUUUGAUUACAUGGUUUGAAGGGUAAAUUUUCUCCCUGGGAAUUCUUUGAGACCUGGGUAAAAGGUGGUUCCUUCCAGAGAGGGUUUGCAUCUGCUUCUGCCUAGUGCUGGGGACAUUACCAGCCAGAAACCUCUUCACACAAAAUUCUCAGUAUGGAGGUUUCAAACCACCCAAGUAAUAUGAAGACUGCAAUUCCAUGUGAAAGCUGACUUAUUGUUAUGAGUUCUCAGUGGAAAUAUUGGUUCUUGUCUACCCAGUGUCAAGGAGGUCUAAGAUAAACAGUCAGCCUCCAUAUCCACUUGGAGGGUGGUAGUGACAGGUGAGAAGGAAGAUAGGCUUAUUUCUAAUUCACCCUCAUGCCAUGGGCAUGCCAGGCCCUGAAUUCUGUCUCAUGUUCCCUCUUUUCUAUGAGUUUCUGAAAACUGAAGCUAUAUUGACCAAGUUUUUAAAAGGUACUCAAGACCAAAGCCAGCUUCAUGUUCUAAAUCACAUUUUGGGUCCCCACAUUCACUGUGCUGAGUAUUCCUUUUUAUGUUAGUCUAGUCUACUCAGACUACUAUAACAAAAUACCACUGACUAGACAGCUUAGACAACAGACAUUUAUUUUUUCACCAUUCGCAAGACUAGAAGUCCAUGAUCAAGGUGUGAGUAAAUUUGAUUUCUGGUGAGGGCUCUCAUCCUGCCUCGUAGAUGGCCACCUUCUCGCUGUGUCAUCAAGUGGUGUUUCCUCUGUGCACACACCAAGGGAGUACUCUCUGAUGUCUCCUUUUCUUCCCAUAAGGACACUCCCAUCGGAUUAUGGCCCCAGCCUUACAACCUUAUUUAACCUUGAUUACCUCCCUAAAAGCCCCAUCUUUAAAUAUAUUGACAUUGAGGAUUCAACAUAUGAAUUCAGGGAGAUAUAUUACAGUUCAAUCCUUAGCACUAAUUUCGAAAAAGCUGCUUUUUUGUUUUUUUGUCCUUUUAAAAUUUUUCCCAACACUUUGAAAUUCUUUGGUCCAGGUGCCUAGAACCACAGUGCUGGGAACACUGGAAAUUGAUUUCCUUUGCACAACGUUUUAUGAGGGAAGAUUCGCAUUUAAUUAAAUUAUUUCAUGAUGUACCUAGUUAAUGGGAAAGGACACUUCAGCCACAUGGGGUGAGGAUGGAGGCUAGACCAGAAAUAGGACUUAGUACCAUUAAAUCAUAUUAAGUUGUUGACUGGAGAGCUCUUUCUUGGGCACCAUUACCAUCCUUAUCUCCAUUUUCUUUUGAACCUGAAGGUGAAGUGACAGGGGAAGUCUAGGUGAGGUGCAAGAAGUUUCUAACAAUUAGAUUUACCCAUAGAAGGCCUCGCUUUGGUCAGUACAUGGAGACCAGUGGCCUCCAUAUGGUCACUCCCCUACAUGUCCUGCAAGAGAUCGCACCAGCCUGGAUUUUUAAAGAUAGCACCCCUGAAGAGCACCUUCUUACAGUGUGCAGAGCGGUGUUCCUGAUAUCUCUGUGGGUCCUUGGUGGGCUUCAGGUAGUGCUGAGGGAGCCCAGAAAGGCUGAAGAGAGCCCUACCCUGAUCCAGGUGGGAGGAGAACCAGGGGACAUACAAUGCAGCAAGCAGGGUCUAAGUGUGGAAACUCAAAGUCUAAGACUGAGGAAUAGAAGCUGUCUCCUGGGAAACAGCAAGAACAAUGGAUGCCGUGUUUCUAACCCUGUUCGUAGAACUGGCCUACAGGUGAGAUACAGGUGUGUCCAAGGACUGCCUAUCCACUCAUCUUCAGAUGUCUCCUUCAGCAAAAAGCACAGUCUCUCCGCUCACAGUAUGUUUUGUUUUGUUUUGUUUUGUUUUUGAGAUGGAGUCUUGCUCUGUCACCAGGCUGGAGGGCAGUGGUGCAAUCUCAGCUCACUGCAGGCUCCACUUCGUGGGUUCAAACGAUUCUCCUGCCUCAGCCUCCUGAGGAGCUGGACUACAGGUGGGCACCACCAUGCCCAGCUACAUUUUAUAUUUUUAGUAGAGAUGGGGGUUUCACCAUGUUGGCCAGGAUGGUCUCGAUCUCUUGACCUCAUGAUCUUCCCUCCUCCUCCUCUCAAAGUGCUGGCAUUACAGGCAUGGGCCACCAUGCCUGAUCUCUCAAAAUAUGUUUCAUGAGACGAGCAUUCAUUCGUUCAUUGCCUGCAGAUAUGCCUCUGCCUUUGAGGAAUGUGCACAUAGGAGUGAAGAACAGGUCUGUAAAUUUAAAAAUUUAAUAAUUAAAAAAAAAGCUAGAGUGCAGAUAAAUGCUGACAGAGGCCUGUCUAGAGUGCUAUGGGAAUCAGGGAAGAGCUGCUAACUGGGAGGUCAGGGAAGUUUUCAAAAAGGAAGUGACAUGUCAGCAGAGUCUUGAAGGAUUGGUAGGCUUGGAAAUCAGUAUGGCAGGGAGGACACAGGUAUAAAGGCACUGAGGUUUGGAACAGCCCCUUAGAACUGGAAGUAAUUCAACAUGCCUGAAUGCAGGUAAGGACAGAAAGGUAAGCAGGAUUCAGACCAUGGAGCCCACAUGCUUGGCUAAGAAGUUUGGGUUUUAUCUCAAAAUACAGAUUGCUAAGGCUAGCAGUGAUAGACUGUUGUUAACAACAGUAGCCUUUAUUAUAUACCUGUCCCAUGGCAAGCACUAAGCUAAGCUCUCUAUAUGAAUAAUUUUAUUUCAUUCCCUUAAUAGGACAAUGAAUUUUAUUUUAAUAGGCCUAUUUGAUAGUCAAAGAAACUGAAUCAUGGAAAAGUUAAAGGUUAGGAAACAGCUGCAGCACAGAGCCAGUAAGAGGCAGAACUGGGAUUUAAACUCAGUCUUCCUGGUUCCAAAGCCCAUGCACUUACGUAGCUGGGCUGUGCUGUCAGAUGGAACAAGGUCUCAGAGUAGAUGAAAGGGGCUGGGCUUGACCUCCAUGGAAUGAGCCUAGGAAGGACAAGGGUCACUCUGUCUCCUGAACUAAAGCAAUAGCAGAAGAUCUGAGUCUUUGGAAAAUUGCUCUAGCAGCAAUGGAGAAAUUUACAGGUGGGUACUGGAAGGGGCAAGACCAGUUAGGAGGAUGAAGCAGUUACUGAAGUAGGAAAAAUGGGGGCAUCCACCAAGGCUUUGGAAAUUGGAGGGGGAAACAGAUGAGAGAGAUUUAGGAGAUGGAGUGGGACUUGGUAGCUGAUUGGAUGUGAGAGCUGAGGGAGGAAGAGAGGUCUUAUUCAACGUUGUAUUCCAAGUGACCAACACAGUUCCAGGCACGUAGUAGGUACUUGGUCUAUAUUUAUUCCAUGAACAGUUGAAUGAUGACUUAGUGCUUUCUGGCUUGGUCCAGUGGGAGAGUUAAAAAGGAAAUACAAAUGGAAGAACAUGCUUUGCAGGGGUCAGAAGGGAAACAUGGUGCAUCUGUAGUGUCUGUGGCUCAUUCAGUGGCAUUUGGAUAUACUGGUUGGAAAUUCUGGAUAAAUCUGGGUUUAAGGGAGAGGUUUGGGUGUUAUCUCAGCACAUGGGUGAGGGUAGAAGCCUAAGGAAUGGACAACAUUUCUUAGAAAGACCUGAGAGAAUAAGAAAACUCAGAAUGGAUCUGACAGGAGAAAGAACAAGAUCCAGUGAAAGAACAGAGAAGGAGCAGCCUGCCAGGUGGGAGGAGAAUCGUGAUGCAAAGGCAGGAUGAGUUUCCGACUAGGGCAUGUCUGAUCAUGACAAUGAUGAAAAAUGUCUUGUUGGAAAAGUGCUAGAAAGAGACCAUUGGCUUUGGCCUUGGAAGAAGACCUUUCAGUGAAGCUCCAGGGGCAGCAACAGACAGAAGUAGUAUGGGAAGCAAACGGAUGGGAGGUGAGGCUGUGGAGGCCAGGAUGGGCAGUAACAUAUGAGGGACAUAAGUGAGAGAGAAAGCUUAGGGUUAGUUUGGGGGGUGUGCUUAAAAUACUGGAACUGGACUAUAUUUGUAGGCUUAGGAAAAAGUAAGCAAAGAGGGAGAGAGUGAAGGUACAGGAGAACAGGGAUGGUGACAGAAGGGAGAUUCUGGAGUGAGAGGGCAAUGGGAUUGGGAAUGCAGGGCUCCCUUUACAAGGAGCAAGGGGAGAAAGAUGCUGUUGUGAGAAGGGGCUGAAAGUUUGCUUGUGGGAGUGUAAGAGGCACAUGUGUCUCCUUGGUCUGCUCGUACUCAUGGAAUAACUAUGAUGCAUUCCCGGCACCUGCACAAGAGGAUCAUUCCUAAAAUUCCAUCUCCCUUGAAGGACCUCUGCUACCUGUGCUUGGCAAGGAGCUAGGAAUGUCCCAGGAACUAGGGCCCUCCAAGGGCAAUAAGAAGGCCAACAGAGAGAAGCAGGGGUGCUAUGGUGUAGGAAUGGCCAAGAACCUACAUCAAGACAUUGGCAUGAGCUGAGCACCUAUGGGCUGUGCACCUCUGCACUAUGGGAACAGGAAGAACUUACAGUCUUACUGGAGAGGCAAGUUAAAGAUAGGUCUAUACUCAAUAAACUAGGAGUAAGACAAAUAAAAACACCCCAAUUCAUCCUCCUGGAAACUUGAUAGAUUCAAGGAACAGAGGAAGGAAGGCUCAAGCAAGUGAUGCAGGCCUACUCCACAUGCAGCCUCCAGGCCCUCCCUUCGGCGGGGGUGUCCUCAGGCAAUGUUAACCUCACCUGCACAUUUGGGUGAUCUCAGUCCUUAUAAUAUUAGUCUAACAGUAAUUCAUAUCUACCUACAAUAGUUUUUUCCCAAAUUUCAUCAGAAAUGCCUCGGAGACACUUUAAAACCAUGGAUUCCUAAGCUCUUUUCCCUAAAGAUCUAAUUCAGUGAGUCUAGGGUAGGUACCUAAACUUAUUUCUAAAGAGCACCCUGGUGGUUCUGACCAGCAAAACUUAAGUUAUCAAUGCAACUCCCACUCCCAGCAAAGCACAGAAUGGCCCCCCACCCCAUCUCUCCCUUUGGGCAGCUCCGGCUUCAAUCACACUGGACUCAGGUUCACACACACACACCUGGCUCUUUAAGACCUGUCUGGGCACAUCUGGUCCCAGUGUGCCUUCCCUUCUCCUCCAGGCCAAUUCCUAUCCCCCUUUAAGAUGCAGUCCAAACACCCCCUCUUCUGAGAAGCUUUCCUAACUUCAUCACAUGUUGCUCUUUCCUGUUCCUGUAGCACUUUAUCAGCACCUUUUGUUUUUGUGCCUUUAGAAUCUAUUUCCCCCACAGCUCCUGAGCACCCUGAAAGCAGGGAUAGCACUUUGUUAUUUCUUCUAUAGUUAGCACAGGGGUGGGCACAGAGAAACAGCUCAGCAAUGUUUGAACAUGUGAGCGAUUAUUGGUGGAGGAGCUCCUCUGGGAUGGCUCCGCCCAUAUUGGCCUUGAGGUUCAGGCCUUCUUCGUCCAGGGCCUCCUCUUGUUAGGACCAUUCAGCUCAGCCUCGUGGAAGAACAAAGACAUAGUCAGGACUGAAACCCAUACCCGCCUCAAUGCCCCCUACCUACACACAUCUGUCUUUCUUUGCAGCUGCUCAGUAUGAACACAAAACGUGAUCCAAUUUGCACAUGAGCCUCCCUUGAUUUGAUCAGGAAGGUUAAUCCACCUUUGCUAAAAAAGAAUGAAAAGUGAAACAGGAGAGAGAGAAUGAGGAUGAGAGGGAGAGGGAGGGGGCAUGGAAGGAAGAGGGAUAGGAAAGCUCAUUUCAUGAACUUCAAAGCCAAAGAUAACAGUGCUUUGAUUAUUCAUUCCAUGGGGAUUAUCACUGUCACUCUUCCCUUUGUAGACCUGAAGAGUUGAGAAAUAAUUCUCCAGGCAAGUGAUCAGCAGCUAGUGCAAAUGUCAGGGACAUACUCGUUGGCCCAUUUGUUCACUCACUUAUUCAUUCAGCAAACAUUUACUCACACCCUCUCUGUGCCAGGCCUUGUGCAAGACACCUGCAAUCAGAGGUUUCCCAUGUGCCUUCACAGCCCCUCCUCAUGUCUGGGGGACUCUUUCAUGGCCUCCUCAAGUCCAAAGCCUCAUUCCUUUCCCUUUUACAGCUGACUCCACUUCGCAUCAUGUGCUGGCAUUUCCCCUCCCCCAGAUCUGGCUGUGGCCGUGUGGUAUCCCCACAUACCCUCUCUGCUGCUGAAGACAAACCCUGCCCCCCUGCCCGUUCGCUCACCAGGAUUUUGUGCCCCUCCUGUUUCCCCAUCCAUGCUUCCCUGAUUUGAGCAUUCAUCACACUGCAUUGUAGUCUAUGUACUCAGGGUCUGCUGUGAAGCUCUUUAGAAACUUUGAGGUCUUUAUGAGCAGUGGCCAUGCUAUCUUGCCUGCCAAUUCACCUCCAAAGCCCAGCCCUUGGCAAGUGUGUAACUGUUGAAUGACUCAGUGAAUAAAUGAAUGAGUGAAAGAACUUACUGCUCUCAGAACUACCAAAAUGAAACCUGAGGUAAUGACCGAAGUUCCAGAACCUCUGACGCUUCAUUCCCUGCUGGAGUUCCAGAACCCUUCAAAGUUCCAGAACCUCUGACCCUCAUUCCCUGCUGGAGGCCUCUGUCCUUGAACCUCUGGGGGUUCAGGUCUUCAGCUUUCCCACUGGCCUCCCCUCUUCACCCCAGGAGCUAAUUCUCCAGCCCUUUCCUAGGGUCUCAGCAAGACCCUGAAAGAAAUCAUGGCUCAAGCUGUGCCUAGGAAAAGUGAUCAAGCUCGCCUUUGAGGAGUUCGAUUUGGAGAGGGGUUAUGACACCCUGACGGUUGGGGAUGGUGGUCAGGAUGGGGACCAGAAGACAGUUCUGUACAUCCUGACAGGUACAUCGGUCCCGGAUCUCAUUGUCAGCACCAAUCAUCAAAUGUGGCUACUCUUCCAGACUGAUGGCAGUGGCAGCUCUCUGGGAUUCAAGGCUUCUUACGAAGAGAUCGAGCAGGGCAGUUGCGGUGACCCUGGCAUACCUGCGUAUGGCCAGAGGGAAGGCUCCCGGUUUCGCCACGGUGACACACUCAAGUUUGAGUGCCAGCCCGCCUUCGAGCUGGUGGGGCAGAAGGCAAUCACAUGCCAAAAGAAUAACCAAUGGUCGGCUAAGAAACCAGGCUGCGUGUUCUCCUGCUUCUUCAACUUCACCAGCCCGUCUGGGGUCGUCCUGUCUCCCAACUACCCAGAGGACUACGGCAACCACCUCCACUGCGUCUGGCUCAUCCUGGCCAGGCCUGAGAGCCGCAUCCACCUGGCCUUCAAUGACAUUGAUGUGGAGCCUCAGUUUGAUUUCCUGGUCAUCAAGGAUGGGGCCACUGCCGAGGCACCAGUCCUGGGUACCUUCUCAGGAAACCAGCUUCCCUCCUCCAUCACAAGCAGUGGCCAUGUGGCCCGUCUCGAGUUCCAGACCGACCACUCCACAGGGAAGAGGGGCUUCAACAUCACCUUUACCACCUUCCGACACAAUGAGUGCCCGGAUCCUGGCGUUCCAGUAAAUGGCAAACGGUUUGGGGACAGCCUCCAGCUGGGCAGCUCCAUCUCCUUCCUCUGUGAUGAAGGCUUCCUUGGGACACAGGGCUCAGAAACCAUCACCUGCAUCCUGAAGGAGGGCAGCGUGGUCUGGAACAGCGCUGUGCUGCGUUGUGAAGCUCCCUGUGGUGGUCACCUGACUUCGCCCAGUGGUACCAUCCUCUCUCCGGGCUGGCCUGGCUUCUACAAGGACGCCUUGAGCUGUGCCUGGGUGAUUGAGGCCCAGCCAGGCUACCCCAUCAAAAUCACCUUCGACAGAUUCAAAACUGAGGUCAACUAUGACACCCUGGAAGUGCGCGAUGGACGGACUUACUCAGCACCCUUGAUCGGGGUUUACCACGGGACCCAGGUUCCCCAGUUCCUCAUCAGCACCAGCAACUACCUCUACCUCCUCUUCUCUACUGACAAGAGUCACUCGGACAUUGGCUUCCAGCUCCGAUAUGAGACUAUAACACUGCAGUCAGACCACUGUCUGGAUCCAGGAAUCCCUGUAAAUGGACAGCGUCAUGGGAAUGACUUCUACGUGGGUGCUCUGGUGACCUUCAGCUGUGACUCGGGCUACACAUUAAGUGAUGGGGAGCCUCUGGAGUGUGAGCCCAACUUCCAGUGGAGCCGGGCCCUGCCCAGUUGUGAAGCUCUCUGUGGUGGCUUCAUUCAAGGCUCCAGUGGGACCAUCUUGUCGCCAGGGUUCCCGGACUUCUACCCCAACAACUUGAACUGCACCUGGAUUAUUGAAACAUCUCAUGGCAAGGGUGUGUUCUUUACUUUCCACACCUUCCACCUGGAGAGUGGCCACGACUACCUCCUCAUCACUGAGAAUGGCAGCUUUACCCAGCCCCUGAGGCAGCUAACUGGCUCUCAGCUGCCAGCUCCCAUCAGCGCUGGGCUCUAUGGCAACUUCACUGCCCAGGUCCGCUUCAUUUCCGAUUUCUCCAUGUCCUACGAAGGAUUCAACAUCACCUUCUCAGGGUACGACUUGGAGCCCUGUGAGGAGCCCGAGGUCCCAGCCUACAGCAUUCGGAAGGGCUUGCAGUUUGGUGUGGGUGACACCUUGACCUUCUCCUGCUUCCCCGGGUACCGUCUGGAGGGCACCGCCCGUAUCACGUGCCUGGGGGGCAGACGGCGCCUGUGGAGCUCGCCUCUGCCAAGGUGUGUUGCUGAGUGUGGGAAUUCAGUCACAGGCACUCAGGGUACUUUGCUGUCCCCGAACUUUCCUGUGAACUACAAUAACAAUCACGAAUGCAUCUACUCCAUCCAGACCCAGCCAGGGAAGGGGAUUCAGCUGAAAGCCAGGGCAUUCGAACUCUCUGAAGGAGAUGUCCUCAAGGUUUAUGAUGGCAACAACAACUCUGCCCGUUUGCUGGGAGUAUUCAGCCAUUCUGAGAUGAUGGGGGUGACUUUGAACAGCACAUCCAGCAGUCUGUGGCUUGAUUUCAUCACUGAUGCUGAAAACACCAGCAAGGGCUUUGAACUGCAGUUUUCCAGUUUUGAACUAAUCAAAUGUGAGGACCCAGGAACCCCCAAGUUUGGCUACAAGGUUCAUGAUGAAGGUCAUUUUGCAGGAAGCUCCGUGUCCUUCAGCUGUGACCCUGGAUACAGCCUGCGGGGUAGUGAGGAGCUGCUGUGUCUAAGUGGAGAACGCAGGACCUGGGACCGGCCUCUGCCCACCUGUGUCGCCGAGUGUGGAGGGACAGUGAAAGGAGAGGUGUCGGGACAGGUGCUGUCUCCCGGGUAUCCAGCUCCCUAUGAACACAAUCUCAACUGCAUCUGGACCAUCGAAGCAGAGGCUGGCUGCACCAUUGGGCUACACUUCCUGGUGUUUGACACAGAGGAGGUUCAUGAUGUGCUGCGCAUCUGGGACGGGCCUGUGGAGAGCGGGGUUCUGCUGAAGGAGCUGAGUGGCCCAGCCCUGCCCAAGGACCUGCACAGCACCUUCAACUCAGUUGUCCUGCAGUUCAGCACUGACUUCUUCACCAGCAAGCAGGGCUUUGCCAUUCAAUUCUCAGUGUCCACAGCAACAUCCUGCAAUGACCCUGGGGUCCCACAGAAUGGGAGCCGAAGUGGUGACAGUUGGGAAGCCGGCGACUCCACAGUGUUCCAGUGUGACCCUGGCUACACGCUGCAGGGAAGUGCAGAGAUCAGCUGUGUGAAGAUCGAGAACAGGUUCUUCUGGCAGCCCAGCCCGCCGACGUGCAUCGCUCCCUGUGGGGGCGACCUGACAGGACCAUCUGGAGUCAUCCUGUCACCAAAUUACCCAGAACCCUACCCGCCAGGCAAGGAGUGUGACUGGAAAGUGACCGUCUCACCAGACUACGUCAUCGCCCUGGUAUUUAACAUCUUUAACUUGGAGCCUGGCUAUGACUUCCUCCAUAUCUACGAUGGACGGGACUCUCUCAGCCCUCUCAUAGGAAGCUUCUAUGGCUCCCAGCUCCCAGACCGCAUUGAAAGCAGCAGCAACAGCCUCUUCCUCGCCUUCCGCAGCGAUGCAUCUGUGAGCAAUGCUGGCUUCGUCAUUGACUAUACAGAAAACCCACGGGAGUCAUGUUUUGAUCCUGGUUCCAUCAAGAAUGGCACACGAGUGGGGUCUGACCUGAAGCUGGGCUCCUCCAUCACCUACUACUGCCACGCAGGCUACGAAGUUGAGGGCACCUCGACCCUGAGCUGCAUCCUGGGGCCUGAUGGGAAACCCGUGUGGAACAAUCCCCGGCCAGUCUGCACAGCCCCCUGUGGGGGACAGUAUGUGGGUUCGGAUGGAGUGGUCUUGUCCCCCAACUACCCCCAGAACUACACCAGUGGACAGAUCUGCUUAUAUUUUGUUACUGUGCCCAAGGACUAUGUGGUGUUUGGCCAGUUUGCCUUCUUUCACACGGCCCUCAACGACGUGGUGGAGGUUCACGACGGCCACAGCCAGCACUCGCGGCUCCUCAGCUCCCUCUCGGGCUCCCAUACAGGAGAGUCACUGCCCUUGGCCACCUCCAAUCAAGUUCUCAUUAAGUUCAGUGCCAAAGGCCAAGCACCAGCCAGAGGCUUCCACUUUGUCUACCAAGCGGUGCCCCGAACCAGCGCCACGCAGUGCAGCUCUGUGCCGGAACCCCGAUAUGGCAAGAGACUGGGCAGUGACUUCUCGGUGGGGGCCAUCGUCCGCUUCGAAUGCAACUCCGGCUAUGCCCUGCAGGGGUCGCCAGAGAUCGAGUGCCUCCCUGUGCCUGGGGCCUUGGCCCAGUGGAACGUCUCGGCCCCUACGUGUGUGGUGCCGUGUGGAGGCAACCUCACUGAGCGCAGGGGCACCAUCCUGUCCCCUGGCUUCCCGGAGCCAUACCUCAACAGCCUCAACUGUGUGUGGAAGAUCGUGGUCCCUGAAGGUGCUGGCAUCCAGAUCCAAGUCAUCAGUUUCGUCACAGAGCAGAACUGGGACUCCCUGGAAGUGUUUGAUGGUGCUGAUAACACAGUAACCAUGCUGGGAAGUUUUUCAGGAACAACCGUGCCUGCCCUUCUGAACAGCACCUCCAACCAGCUCUACCUUCAUUUCUACUCAGAUAUCAGCGUGUCUGCAGCUGGCUUCCACUUGGAGUACAAAACGGUGGGCCUGAGCAGUUGUCCUGAACCUGCUGUGCCCAGUAAUGGGGUGAAGACUGGCGAGCGCUACUUGGUGAAUGAUGUGGUCUCUUUCCAGUGUGAGCCGGGAUAUGCCCUCCAGGGCCACGCCCACAUCUCCUGCAUGCCUGGAACCGUGCGGCGAUGGAACUACCCUCCUCCACUCUGUAUUGCACAGUGUGGGGGAACAGUGGAAGAGAUGGAGGGGGUGAUCCUGAGCCCCGGCUUCCCAGGCAACUACCCCAGUAACAUGGACUGCUCCUGGAAAAUAGCACUGCCUGUGGGCUUUGGAGCUCACAUCCAGUUCCUGAACUUCUCCACCGAGCCCAACCACGACUUCAUAGAAAUCCGGAAUGGCCCCUAUGAGACCAGCCGCAUGAUGGGAAGAUUCAGUGGAAGCGAGCUUCCGAGCUCCCUCCUCUCCACGUCCCAUGAAACCACCGUGUAUUUCCACAGCGACCACUCCCAGAACCGGCCAGGAUUCAAGCUGGAGUAUCAGGCCUAUGAACUUCAAGAGUGCCCAGACCCAGAGCCCUUUGCCAAUGGCAUUGUGAGGGGAGCUGGCUACAAUGUGGGACAAUCAGUGACCUUUGAGUGCCUCCCAGGGUAUCAAUUGACUGGCCACCCUGUCCUCACUUGUCAACAUGGCACCAACCGGAACUGGGACCAUCCUCUGCCCAAGUGUGAAGUCCCUUGUGGCGGGAACAUCACUUCUUCCAAUGGCACCGUGUACUCCCCAGGGUUCCCUAGCCCAUACUCCAGCUCCCAGGACUGUGUCUGGCUUAUCACCGUGCCCAUUGGCCAUGGCAUCCGCCUCAACCUCAGCCUGCUGCAGACAGAGCCUUCUGGAGAUUUCAUCACCAUCUGGGAUGGGCCACAGCAAACAGCACCACGGCUCGGCGUCUUCACCCGGAGCAUGGCCAAGAAAACAGUGCACAGCUCAUCCAACCAGGUCCUGCUCAAGUUCCACCGCAAUGCAGCCACAGGGGGGAUCUUCGCCAUAGCUUUCUCUGCUUAUCCACUCACCAAAUGCCCUCCUCCCACCAUCCUCCCCAAUGCCGAAGUCGUAACAGAGAAUGAAGAAUUCAACAUAGGUGACAUCGUACGCUACAGAUGCCUCCCUGGCUUUACCUUAGUGGGGAAUGAAAUCCUGACCUGCAAACUUGGAACUUACCUGCAGUUCGAAGGCCCACCGCCAAUAUGUGAAGUGCACUGCCCAACAAAUGAGCUUCUGACAGACUCCACAGGUGUGAUCUUGAGCCAGAGCUACCCUGGAAGCUAUCCUCAGUUCCAGACCUGCUCCUGGCUGGUGAGAGUGGAGCCCGACUAUAACAUCUCCCUCACAGUGGAGUACUUCCUCAGCGAGAAGCAGUAUGAUGAGUUUGAGAUUUUUGAUGGUCCCUCCGGACAGAGCCCUCUGCUAAAAGCCCUCAGUGGAAAUUACUCUGCUCCCCUGAUUUUCACCAGCUCAAGCAACUCUGUGUACCUGCGCUGGUCAUCUGAUCACGCCUACAAUCGGAAGGGCUUUAAGAUUCGCUAUUCAGCCCCUUACUGCAGCCUGCCCAGGGCUCCGCUCCAUGGCUUCAUCCUAGGCCAGACCAGCACCCAGCCCGGGGGCUCCAUCCACUUUGGCUGCAAUGCCGGCUACCGCCUGGUGGGACACAGCAUGGCCAUCUGUACCCGGCACCCUCAAGGCUACCACCUGUGGAGCGAAGCCAUCCCUCUCUGUCAAGCUCUUUCCUGUGGGCUUCCUGAGGCCCCCAAGAAUGGAAUGGUGUUUGGCAAGGAGUACACAGUGGGAACCAAGGCUGUGUACAGCUGCAGUGAAGGCUACCACCUCCAGGCGGGAGCUGAGGCCACUGCAGAGUGUCUGGACACAGGCCUAUGGAGCAACCACAAUGUCCCGCCACUGUGUGUCCCUGUGACCUGUCCUGAUAUCAGUAGCAUCAGUGUGGAGCAUGGCCGAUGGAGGCUUAUCUUUGAGACACAGUACCAGUUCCAGGCCCAGCUGAUGCUCAUCUGUGACCCUGGCUACUACUAUACUGGCCAAAGGGUCAUCCGCUGUCAGGCCAAUGGCAAAUGGAGCCUCGGGGACUCUACACCCACCUGCCAAAUCAUCUCCUGUGGAGAGCUCCCCAUCCCCCCCAAUGGGCACCGCAUCGGAACACUGUCUGUCUACGGGGCAACAGCCAUCUUCUCCUGCAAUUCUGGAUACACAAUGGUGGGCUCCCGGGUGCGUGAGUGCAUGGCUAAUGGGCUCUGGAGUGGCUCUGAAGUCCGCUGCCUUGCUGGACACUGUGGGACACCUGAGCCUAUCAUCAAUGGACACAUCAAUGGGGAGAACUACAGCUACCGGGGCAGUGUAGUGUACCAGUGCAACGCUGGCUUCCGCCUGAUCGGCAUGUCUGUGCGCAUCUGCCAGCAGGAUCAUCACUGGUCGGGCAAGACCCCUUUCUGUGUGCCAAUUACCUGUGGACACCCAGGCAACCCUGUCAACGGCCUCACUCAGGGCAACCAGUUUAACCUCAACGAUGUGGUCAAGUUUGUUUGCAACCCUGGGUAUAUGGCUGAGGGGGCUGCUAGGUCCCAAUGCCUGGCCAGCGGGCAGUGGAGUGACAUGCUACCCAACUGCAGAAUCAUCAACUGUACAGAUCCUGGACACCAAGAAAACAGUGUUCGUCAGGUCCAUGCCAGCGGCCCACACAGGUUCAGCUAUGGCACCACUGUGUCUUACCAGUGCAACCACGGCUUCUACCUCCUGGGCACCCCAGUGCUCAGCUGCCAGGGAGAUGGCACAUGGGACCGUCCCCGCCCCCAGUGUCUCUUGAUGUCCUGUGGCCAUCCAGGCUCCCCACCUCACUCCCAGAUGUCCGGAGACAGCUACAUUGUGGGAGCAGUGGUGCGGUACAGCUGCACCGGCAAGCGGACUCUGGUGGGAAACAGCACCCGCAUGUGUGGGCUGGAUGGCCACUGGACUGGCUCCCUCCCUCACUGUUCAGGAACCAGCACGGGAGUUUGCGGUGACCCUGGGAUCCCAGCUCAUGGAAUCCGUUUGGGGAACAGCUUUGAUCCAGGCAGUGUGAUGCACUUCAGCUGUGAAGCUGGCCAUGUGCUCCGGGGAUCCUCAGAGCGCACCUGUGAAGCCAAUGGCUCAUGGAGCGGCUCGCAGCCUGAGUGUGGAGUGAUCUCUUGUGGGAACCCCGGGACUCCAAGCAAUGCCCGAGUCAUUUUCAGUGAUGGCCUGGUUUUCUCCAGCUCUAUUGUCUAUGAGUGUCGGGAAGGAUACUAUGCCACGGGCCUGCUCAGCCGUCACUGCUCAGUCAAUGGUACCUGGACAGGCAGUGACCCCGAGUGCCUCGUCAUAAACUGUGGUGACCCUGGGAUUCCAGCCAAUGGCCUUCGGCUGGGCAAUGACUUCAGGUACAACAAAACUGUGACAUACCAGUGUGUCCCUGGCUAUAUGAUGGAGUCACAUAGAGUAUCUGUGCUGAGCUGCACCAAGGACCGGACAUGGAAUGGAACCAAGCCUGUCUGCAAAGCUCUCAUGUGCAAGCCGCCUCCUCUCAUCCCCAAUGGGAAGGUGGUGGGGUCUGACUUCAUGUGGGGCUCAAGUGUGACUUAUGCCUGCCUGGAGGGCUACCAGCUCUCCCUGCCCGCGGUGCUUACCUGUGAGGGAAAUGGGUCCUGGACCGGAGAGCUGCCUCAGUGUUUCCCUGUGUUCUGCGGGGAUCCUGGUGUCCCGCCCCGUGGGAGGAGAGAGGACCGAGGCUUCUCCUACAGGUCAUCUGUCUCCUUCUCCUGCCAUCCCCCUCUGGUGCUGGUGGGCUCUCCACGCAGGUUUUGCCAGUCAGAUGGGACAUGGAGUGGCACCCAGCCCAGCUGCAUAGAUCCUACCCUGACUACCUGUGCGGACCCUGGCAUGCCACAGUUUGGGAUACAGAACAAUUCUCAGGGAUACCAGGUUGGAAGCACAGUGCUCUUCCGUUGCCAAAAAGGCUACCUGCUUCAGGGCUCCACCACCAGGACCUGCCUGCCCAACCUGACCUGGAGUGGAACCCCGCCUGACUGUGUCCCCCACCACUGCAGGCAGCCAGAGACGCCAACGCAUGCCAACGUCGGGGCCCUGGACUUGCCCUCUAUGGGCUACACGCUCAUCUACUCCUGCCAGGAGGGCUUCUCCCUCAAGGGUGGCUCCGAGCACCGCACCUGCAAGGCGGAUGGCAGCUGGACAGGCAAGCCGCCCAUCUGCCUGGCAGAGGUCCGGCCCAGUGGGAGACCCAUCAAUACUGCCCGGGAACCACCGCUCACCCAAGCCUUGAUUCCUGGGGAUGUUUUUGCCAAGAACUCCCUGUGGAAAGGGGCCUAUGAAUACCAGGGGAAGAAGCAGCCAGCCAUGCUCAGAGUGACUGGCUUCCAAGUUGCCAACAGCAAGGUCAAUGCCACCAUGAUUGACCACAGCGGCGUGGAGCUACACUUGGCUGGAACUUACAAGAAAGAAGAUUUUCAUCUCUUACUCCAGGUGUACCAGAUUACAGGGCCUGUGGAGAUCUUUGUGAAUAAGUUCAAAGAUGAUCACUGGGCUUUAGACGGCCAUGUCUCAUCAGAGUCCUCUGGAGGCACCUUCAUCUACCAAGGUUCUGUCAAGGGCCAAGGCUUUGGGCAGUUCGGCUUUCAAAGACUGGACCUCAGGCUGCUGGAAUCAGACCCCGAGUCCAUUGGCCGCCACUUUGCUUCCAACAGCAGCUCAGUGGCAGCCGCAAUCCUGGUGCCUUUCAUCGCCCUCAUCAUUGCGGGCUUCGUGCUCUAUCUCUACAAGCACAGGAGAAGACCCAAAGUUCCUUUCAAUGGCUAUGCUGGCCACGAGAACACCAAUGUUCGGGCCACGUUUGAGAACCCAAUGUACGACCGCAACAUCCAGCCCACAGACAUCAUGGCCAGCGAGGCGGAAUUCACAGUCAGCACAGUGUGCACAGCGGUAUAGCCACACAGCCUGGCCGCCACCACUGCCACCGAGAGCCCCGCCUCCAGCAGCCGUUCCCCAGGGGGCAGGAAGUAGGCUCCCCUGAGCACAGUGCCCAGUGCCCAUCUUCGUUGUCUCUCUGCCUUUGUCUGCUACUGCUGGGACUCGGGCCCUCGCCCUGCCGCCACCUACACCCGUCACCCCGGAGAGGACUCCCGCCGUGCUCUGAAAAGGAGGCAGGAAAUGAAAAGGGGCUGAAGACAGAGGAAGGAAGUUUAUGGAUUUAAAAUAGUAAAGCAACUUGUGGAUGUGUGUGUGUGUGUGUAUGGGCCUGAGCACACACAAACACACACACCUCUCCUUCAUUCACGUCCUAUGGAAGAGACCAUAAAAGCUUCAAAACCAGAAGUGCACAUGAAGGAUGCUUCAUGCCCUAUUCCCCACACACAGAAAAGAGAUGAAGAGGGGGCGGUAUGGUCAGCUUUCAAACCAAUAUGCCCCCCGCCCAUCUCAUGUGUGAGGACAUGGUGACUCGGUGACUGUAACAGCAGGACGCAUCCCAUGGUGUGGUCAGUGUGCAAAAACCAGCCACCUGCUGAUGGACGGCCCCAUCUGCACAGCAGCAGCAGCAAGGAUUACCCCAGAGGCAGGAAAAAGGUCUUUGGAAAUAGAUUGAAAAUCAGUUUCUUUAUUUUUUCAAACACAAUUGUAUUGAGUUCUAAAUCCAGUGUUUUAAAAAGUCAUUUGGGUCCUGGGCAGCACUGGGAAUGAAGGGAGAGCCAGGGAGGAUAGGGCAGGAGUCUAGCCAGGAACCCAAAAUCAAGUCUGGAUGUCAACUGACAAAGAGAAGACAAGACAAGUCUGUGGUCAAGAGAGGACGCCAGGUCUGGAGGCAGCAGCGGGGGCCUUGAAAGGACAGGGCAGCAAGCCUGCCCCGGUACCCAAAAAACAAUGGCUGUCAUGUGCUGGGGUUAUUCUCUGUGCUUGACACUUUACCUCUAGUAUUUCUAGUCUACACAGUAACACCAAAAUGUAGAAUUUAUUAUUCCCCUUUGACAGAUGAGAAAAUAGAAGCCUGGAAAGGUAAAGACAUGUGGGGCAAGUAGUUAGGAAGUGUGGAGUCAGAAUGCAAACCCAUAUCAGUCUGCCCCAAAGUCCACUACACCAGCUGCCAGAAACCCCGGUCUAGAAGGGGCAGCCAAGAAAGGAGGAGCUGGUGAAUCUCUGCAGUAGCACUGGGGCCAGGUCUGGGAAGCCAGGCAAGACACCCCUGUGUCCUAUCUGGGUUCUGCUCUCUCCACAUAGGCAGUCUCAGGGGAAGGACUCAGCUCCCCAGGCCUCCUGCGGUUGAUGCUGGCUCCUUGGCUACCAACAGCCGCUGACCAUAGCCUGCAAAAGACCUGGCAGGUCCUGAAUCAAAACAACCGGGUGGCUGAAAGUCACACUCUCUCCAGCUCCUCGCAAGUGGGUUUGAUUUAUUUUGACAGCUAAUAUUAUGCUUGGGUCAUUCAUGAAUUCCAUGAGUAUUGUUGGGAAAUUCAUGAGUUUAGGAAUCUAAGUAUGGCAUUUAGAGCCACUUUCUCUGUCCUCGGGAAGGCCCCCAAGGGCUUAAGCCCCUGUACAUGGAUGACAUGCUGACCUCAGAGGUUCAUGUCACAUAUUGAAAUAACAAAUAGAAAUAUGCAGGAGCAGAGAGACCGUGACACCUGGUUCUUAAGCAAAUUCUAGGUUGGAACAAUUAGAACAUCUGACUGAUAUUAAGAUUGGCCAGAGUACAGUGAGAGGCGUCCAUUUCCAGCAGACACAAUGGAGGCUGACAGAGGCAGGAGCCCACCCAUGGCCGCAUCACCUCUGGGACACGGUACCCCUGGGCCUGGCGGGAGGAGGUCAGUCCAGACUCCCUCACGCUCAUCUCUUUGCUUGGCUGGAAACAAGGGCAGGAAGCUCCCCUCCGGACUUCUUAAGCUCCCUUCCCCCUUCUUACGCUCCUCUCCUUUGACUGGUCCCUUCCCCCUUUUUAUGCCCCUCCCAGACCACCCAGUGGAUGCCUCUUCCUGCCCUCCACCCCUCCCCUGCAUCUCCUUGUAAAGUCCCAUGAGAUGCCCGAGGAGCACCUGCUGGUGGGGCACCCAGCACUCUGCUGGGCAUCACCCUCUGCACCCUGGCAUUUCUCUCCACCUCCAGAGGCUUGGAAGGGAACAGGGUAGAUAAGGCCCUUCACCCACCAUCUAUGCCAUACACCCACCACCACCAUCCCAUAAGGGAAAAAAAAAAGUAAAACAAAAACAAAAAAAAAUCUUUUGUACAGAGAUAUAUUUUUAUUAUACAAAGUUUGUACAGUACCAAAAAAGAAAGAAAAAAAGGUGUAAAUUUUUUUUCAUUAUUGUAGGUAAACGGUAGUAGAAGCCUUUUUUGUAAAUGUACAAAAAUGUAUAAAUAUGGUUUUCAGAAAACAUCAAGUGCUGUAAAUAUGUAAUCUACACCCCUUCUUGGCUUGUCUGCAGUAUAUACAUUUAAUUUAUCUGUCUCUGUAUAUGAGGCUUCCCCCUGGGGUCCUGCAUUAUGGUACUUUCCUGAAUUUGAAAGCAAUUUUAAAUUUUUUGAAUUCAAAUAAAAUAUAAAUUUUUGCAUUGGU